UCGAGAAUCUUUAGCAAUGGACGAAAGUCUGACUAAGCGACGCCGCGUGCAGGAUGAAGGUUUUCGGAUUGUAAACUGCUUUUAUCAGGGAAGAAACUUUAAUAGCUAAUAACUAUUAAACUGACGGUACCUGAUGAAUAAGCCACGGCUAACUCCGUGCCAGCAGCCGCGGUAAUACGGAGGUGGCAAGCGUUACUCGGAAUUAUUGGGUGUAAAGGGCAAGUAGGCGGUCUGUUAAGUGAGGGGUGAAAUCUCCCGGCUCAAUCGGGAAACUGCCCUUCAAACUGACAGACUUGAGGUUGGAAGAGGGAAGCGGAAUUAGCAGUGUAAGGGUGAAAUCUGUAGAUAUUGCUAAGAACACCGGCGGCGAAGGCGGCUUCCUGGUCCAAACCUGACGCUAAAUUGCGAAAGCUAGGGGAGCAAACAGA
RNAcentral lists this ribosomal RNA (428 nucleotides) under uncultured bacterium. RNAcentral describes it as "bacterial SSU rRNA". It matches the Rfam family "Bacterial small subunit ribosomal RNA", at positions 355 to 776 of the family's 1533-position model. The record is from RNAcentral.